CACAGGCCAGCUCGUGUUCCCGGUCCCCGCAGGAGGUUUUUCUUACAUUCAGAGCAAUCGUGAGGGCGAUAACCGAUGUCCCCCAAUGUGACCCACGGGGUCCUCACAGGGCCCCAGGAGCAGGGAGGGCAGGGCAUGGCAGGGCAGGCCACAGGGAUGAAGUUCAAGGAGCUUGGAGCUUCCAGGCUCCACAAUCAGGUCUGUGCUCCCAGGGAUGAAGCAGCCGGGCUGAUCCGGGCCCGAGGUCCCCAGCCUAUCUAGGGAGCCACAGACACCACCUGUCAAGUUGCUCACUGCCAGAGAAACGCAACCUUCCCCGGAACGCAGACUCAUCAGUGUGAGAGUCCCUGGGCUCCUGGGCAGGUAAGGAGGGCUCCUCCGCACCCACAAAUCCACCCAUGUCUGCCCUGGGUGCUGCGAGGCAGCUCCCCAGCGUGCGCUCAGCAACUGGGAAUUUCACCAAGCUGCCCUCUGGCACAGGGGCUGAGUCCAGGCCCUGGUAGACCUGUUGUCACAGGGAGGCUUGUCUAGAGGCCGGGGCCUCGCCAGGUUUAGGAUAGAACCAAUCCACCUGCUGUCCCCUCAGGGAUGAUCAAGUGAUGCAGGACAAGAAGCCAUUUCCCAGGUGACAGAAUGAGACGGCGCUGAUCGCCCAGGCCCAAGCUGCAGGUGGGCACAGAGCUUGGGGCACCAGGACCACACAAGGAGCUGUGCCCACCCCUGUGCAUGCAUGCCCCUGCCAGGCCAGCCGGGCACAGAACACGCUCCAUCUCAUGACUGCCCCAGGACCCACUCCACGGAGGUGGAAACUGAGGCUGGGGAGGAGGGAGAACCUGCCCGCGGGCCCCUGUAACUAACCCAAGCCUCGGCAGAGGACACCCCAACCAGGUGGCUCAGAAGGUGGGGUGGGCAGGGUGGACACAGGGACGGGGCAGCGUGGGAUGAAGACUCCGCACCCCAGGGAUUCCUAGAAAGGGGAGGCGGGCAGGAUGGGGACGGCACAAUAGAGAGGGUGGCGGUGUCGGGGCUGAGGUCAGGCUCGGGAGCACGGCAAGGGGAGGAGGCUGGGGAGUCCGCAUGGUGGGGGCCUGGGGGAGACUGUUCCCGCCACCUUGAAGGGCACCUUCCUCUCGGUGCCUCAGUUUCCUGAUUGGGAGAUGAAGAUGAAGAUGACAGGCUAUUGCCACAUGUGGCCUGCGUGGGGCUGCAGCACGGCUCCCCAGCCCCUGCUGCUGCCCAUGCUGCAGGGCCGGAGGGGAACACUUGUUCCUGAUGUGGGCAUUACUGCCAUUAAAAACCACUUUUAGGUCCUGGCUGUCUGGGGGCCUGUGAACCUCAUAAAAACCACAUGGGAAAUUUCAUUUGUAUGUAUAGUUUUGGGGGCACCAGUUCAUGGCUUUCCCAGAUCCUCCAGGGGUGCACGGCCUACCAGGCUCAGACCACACCACGUAACCCAGAGUGGACGGAGCUCUUGGAGGAGACACCAGGUCCCGGCACCUGCAGGCGCCCAUGCACAAGGUUCGCAGGGACUUGGCUAGACGCCACCCCACAUCAGGACCUCCGAACCCGGGUGGCCACCCGCUACCUCGGCACCGAACCACAGCUGGCCGGCCAGGUUGUCGUGCCGGAUCUCCUCAGGGAACUUGACGCAGAAAUCUCUGGGGGCGCGGUCCUGGGGGAUGCACUCAUCCAUGAUCUGGUUAAUGAUGUUCAACACAUUGUCCUGAAACAGAAGACAGGAGAAAGUGCGCCAAUCGCUGUGUCCAGCUGGCGGCCGCCAUGUACUGCUGGAAAACACGCACGGUGCAUGUGACUGUUUUUUAGGAUUAUUAAAGUGAUAGAGGAGGCUAGGCACGGUGGCUCAUGCCUAUAAUGCCAGCACUUUGGGAGGCCGAGGCGGGUGGUUUACCUGAGGUUAGGAGUUUGAGACCAGCCUGGCCAACAUGGCGAAACCCCAUCUCUACUAAAAAUACAAAAAUUAGCCGGGCGUGGUAGCGCACACCUGUAAUCCCAGCUAUUAGGGAGGCUGAGGCAGGAGAAUCACUUGAACCAGGGAGGCAGAGGUUGCAGUGAGCCGAGAUGGUGCCAUCGCACUCCAGCCAGGGCAAUAAAGAGCAGCAACCGCAGGAGCCAUGGGCUCAGACGGACUCUCAGUCGGCUGGGGACCUGCAAAGCCCUCGUCUUCCCUGAAGCUCAGUGCAUUCCUCUGUAGAGUCAGGGACACAGACCACGUCUUAGGGUCAGAAGAGUGCAGUUACGUCAAGGCCAGGCACAGCUGGGGCCUGCUCCUCCAUCCAGGGUGGCGUCCCCUCCCACCUCCUCUGGAACCAGCAGAUCAAUUACAGCAACGCAUAAGUCAGUCUGCACUGGAAGGGGGUGCUGCUUUCACAACAUGGAGACCCUGACUCCAUCCCUCAUGGCUGUUCAACGAGGGACAGGUCACUUCGCCUCUCUGAUCAGCCAGGUCCCCUUCUGUAAGCCUCAAUACACAGCAACUUCUGGCUUUUUGUUUAUUUUUAGAGGCAGGGUCUGGCUUUGUCACUCAGGCUGGAGUGAAGUGGCGCAAUCAUAGCUUACGACAGCCUCAAACUCCAGGGCUCCAGCCAUCCUCCAGCCUCAGCCUCCCGAGCGGCUGGGAUUACCAGAGUGAGCCAGCAUCCCUGGAAGCAGCUUCUACUUUAAAGACUCUUUAAAAUUAUUUUACUUUAUUUCCUUAUGUUCAAAAUAUAAAGUAUAACAGAGUGUUUUGAACACUUUGUGUAUAUGAGGGAGAAGAAGCCCAUUUUUUUACAUCUUAAAUUGCAUUCCAUCCUUUUCUGUAAAUUUGUCCUAUUCUUUAAACAUUGACUAUUCAUUCUGUAGGUUACAAAAACACUGGAAGUUUAACUUUUGCUUUAAUUUGUUAAAUAUGAAAUCAAUACACGUUCAUCCUAGGAAAACUGGAACCAAUGGGAAAGGAGAGAAGUGGGGAAAAUGUCCUUGGGGAAAUAUGACCGCAGGUGGGACACAGUUCCUUCUAAUUCUCAUCUUCCGAGGGCCUGUUUUCAGCCAACGUUGAGACGAUCCAUGUACGUAAUACUGCCUUCUGCUGUUGUAGCUGCUGCAACAUGUUAUUACAUCUGUCACAUAUACAAUUUUUGAUGGAUAGUGACAUGCAAUUCCAGCAUAUGGACCGUCCUGUUAACUCACUCCUUUGUCUUCUGCUGGACACUGACGAUGUGCCUAAUCCUCCACCUCCACGCAAUGCUGCCCUCACUACUGUGGUGCACGAUGCUCCGAGUGUGGAUUACUUCCUUAGGACCCACUGAUUGCUAGAAAUGGAAUUACAAUGUCAAAAGUGCAAACUGCGUUUCCAGGCUCUAAUGAGAUACUGCCAAAUGGCUUUCCAGAAAGAGCACACUAAUUGACACUCUCACCUUGGCAAUUUUUAAUCUCGACCAUCCCUCCUGAGGCUUGACUUUCAUUUUUCUUAGGAAGAGAUACGAAAACUCACUAUGAGUGGGGAAGCAUGACCCUUCUCAGGCAAGAAAUCAUGCACUAAACUCUGAAGGAAAUUCUGCACUGUAAGAAAAAUGUUAAGCCUUUAUAAUACAAAAAAUAAAAAUAAAAUUCAACCAA
Homo sapiens (human) is the source of this 3618-nucleotide long non-coding RNA. RefSeq lists it as uncharacterized. The transcript has 2 exons. The record is from RefSeq and is a predicted model, not a curated record. Lineage: Eukaryota; Metazoa; Chordata; Mammalia; Primates; Hominidae.